This is a small nuclear RNA of Capra hircus (goat), 100 nucleotides long. The record is from Ensembl. Lineage: Eukaryota; Metazoa; Chordata; Mammalia; Artiodactyla; Bovidae.
AAACUAGCUGAGUUUAAAAGAUUAAUGGAAAGAUAACAGAGACGAUUAGCAUAGCCCUAACUAGGAUGACAUGCAAAUUUGUGAAGUGUUCCACAUUUUU